CCGAGAUUCCCCCAGUAGCGGCGAGCGAACGGGGAGGAGCCCAGAGCCUGAAUCAGUGUGUGUGUUAGUGGAAGCGUCUGGAAAGGCGCGCGAUACAGGGUGACAGCCCCGUACACAAAAAUACACAUAUUGUGAGCUCGAUGAGUAGGGCGGGACACGUGGUAUCCUGUCUGAAUAUGGGGGGACCAUCCUCCAAGGCUAAAUACUCCUGACUGACCGAUAGUGAACCAGUACCGUGAGGGAAAGGCGAAAAGAACCCCGGCGAGGGGAGUGAAAAAGAACCUGAAACCGUGUACGUACAAGCAGUGGGAGCACGCUUAGGCGUGUGACUGCGUACCUUUUGUAUAAUGGGUCAGCGACUUAUAUUCUGUAGCAAGGUUAACCGAAUAGGGGAGCCGAAGGGAAACCGAGUCUUAACUGGGCGUUAAGUUGCAGGGUAUAGACCCGAAACCCGGUGAUCUAGCCAUGGGCAGGUUGAAGGUUGGGUAACACUAACUGGAGGACCGAACCGACUAAUGUUGAAAAAUUAGCGGAUGACUUGUGGCUGGGGGUGAAAGGCCAAUCAAACCGGGAGAUAGCUGGUUCUCCCCGAAAGCUAUUUAGGUAGCGCCUCGUGAAUUCAUCUCCGGGGGUAGAGCACUGUUUCGGCAAGGGGGUCAUCCCGACUUACCAACCCGAUGCAAACUGCGAAUACCGGAGAAUGUUAUCACGGGAGACACACGGCGGGUGCUAACGUCCGUCGUGAAGAGGGAAACAACCCAGACCGCCAGCUAAGGUCCCAAAGUCAUGGUUAAGUGGGAAACGAUGUGGGAAGGCCCAGACAGCCAGGAUGUUGGCUUAGAAGCAGCCAUCAUUUAAAGAAAGCGUAAUAGCUCACUGGUCGAGUCGGCCUGCGCGGAAGAUGUAACGGGGCUAAACCAUGCACCGAAGCUGCGGCAGCGACGCUUAUGCGUUGUUGGGUAGGGGAGCGUUCUGUAAGCCUGCGAAGGUGUGCUGUGAGGCAUGCUGGAGGUAUCAGAAGUGCGAAUGCUGACAUAAGUAACGAUAAAGCGGGUGAAAAGCCCGCUCGCCGGAAGACCAAGGGUUCCUGUCCAACGUUAAUCGGGGCAGGGUGAGUCGACCCCUAAGGCGAGGCCGAAAGGCGUAGUCGAUGGGAAACAGGUUAAUAUUCCUGUACUUGGUGUUACUGCGAAGGGGGGACGGAGAAGGCUAUGUUGGCCGGGCGACGGUUGUCCCGGUUUAAGCGUGUAGGCUGGUUUUCCAGGCAAAUCCGGAAAAUCAAGGCUGAGGCGUGAUGACGAGGCACUACGGUGCUGAAGCAACAAAUGCCCUGCUUCCAGGAAAAGCCUCUAAGCAUCAGGUAACAUCAAAUCGUACCCCAAACCGACACAGGUGGUCAGGUAGAGAAUACCAAGGCGCUUGAGAGAACUCGGGUGAAGGAACUAGGCAAAAUGGUGCCGUAACUUCGGGAGAAGGCACGCUGAUAUGUAGGUGAAGUCCCUUGCGGAUGGAGCUGAAAUCAGUCGAAGAUACCAGCUGGCUGCAACUGUUUAUUAAAAACACAGCACUGUGCAAACACGAAAGUGGACGUAUACGGUGUGACGCCUGCCCGGUGCCGGAAGGUUAAUUGAUGGGGUCAGCGCAAGCGAAGCUCUUGAUCGAAGCCCCGGUAAACGGCGGCCGUAACUAUAACGGUCCUAAGGUAGCGAAAUUCCUUGUCGGGUAAGUUCCGACCUGCACGAAUGGCGUAAUGAUGGCCAGGCUGUCUCCACCCGAGACUCAGUGAAAUUGAACUCGCUGUGAAGAUGCAGUGUACCCGCGGCAAGACGGAAAGACCCCGUGAACCUUUACUAUAGCUUGACACUGAACAUUGAGCCUUGAUGUGUAGGAUAGGUGGGAGGCUUUGAAGUGUGGACGCCAGUCUGCAUGGAGCCGGCCUUGAAAUACCACCCUUUAAUGUUUGAUGUUCUAACGUGGACCCGUGAUCCGGGUUGCGGACAGUGUCUGGUGGGUAGUUUGACUGGGGCGGUCUCCUCCUAAAGAGUAACGGAGGAGCACGAAGGUUGGCUAAUCCUGGUCGGACAUCAGGAGGUUAGUGCAAUGGCAUAAGCCAGCUUGACUGCGAGCGUGACGGCGCGAGCAGGUGCGAAAGCAGGUCAUAGUGAUCCGGUGGUUCUGAAUGGAAGGGCCAUCGCUCAACGGAUAAAAGGUACUCCGGGGAUAACAGGCUGAUACCGCCCAAGAGUUCAUAUCGACGGCGGUGUUUGGCACCUCGAUGUCGGCUCAUCACAUCCUGGGGCUGAAGUAGGUCCCAAGGGUAUGGCUGUUCGCCAUUUAAAGUGGUACGCGAGCUGGGUUUAGAACGUCGUGAGACAGUUCGGUCCCUAUCUGCCGUGGGCGCUGGAGAACUGAGGGGGGCUGCUCCUAGUACGAGAGGACCGGAGUGGACGCAUCACUGGUGUUCGGGUUGUCAUGCCAAUGGCACUGCCCGGUAGCUAAAUGCGGAAGAGAUAAGUGCUGAAAGCAUCUAAGCACGAAACUUGCCCCGAGAUGAGUUCUCCCUGACCCUUUAAGGGUCCUGAAGGAACGUUGAAGACGACGACGUUGAUAGGCCGGGUGUGUAAGCGCAGCGAUGCGUUGAGCUAACCGGUACUAAUGAACCGUGAGG
This 2668-nucleotide ribosomal RNA is filed under the name Shigella sonnei. RNAcentral describes it as "partial 23S ribosomal RNA". It matches the Rfam family "Bacterial large subunit ribosomal RNA". The record is from RNAcentral. Lineage: Bacteria; Pseudomonadati; Pseudomonadota; Gammaproteobacteria; Enterobacterales; Enterobacteriaceae.